UUUCUGUUUAAGACAGAAGGAUUCUAUACAAACUUGAAAUGUCUUUUGACUUUAUAUUUGAAAAUGUGUGUGCAUGUGCAUUCAUGAAGUGGAGAGAAAUGAUAAAUGCUUUCAUUUGAGUCAGAGUCGUACACAUCACAGGCAGCUGCUGUGAGCGCUGUUAUUACAGUUUUGACCUGACAUAUGAGGUGGAAAAU
This is a non-coding RNA of Otolemur garnettii (small-eared galago), 197 nucleotides long. NCBI's taxonomy places the organism in Eukaryota, Metazoa, Chordata, Mammalia, Primates, Galagidae. The record is from Rfam.